AGAGUUUGAUCUGGCUCAGGACAACGCUGGCGGCGUGCUUAACACAUGCAAGUCGUACGGAGCUGCAGGACGGAAUCCUUCGGGAGGAAGAACGGCAGCUUAGUGGCGGACGGGUGAGUAACGCGUGAGCAACCUGCCCGAUAAGAGGGGGGAUAACAGUUGGAAACGACUGCUAAUACCGCAUAAGACCGACAACACCGCAUGGUGGAGGGGUCAAAGAGGAAUCGCUUAUGGAUGGGCUCGCGUCCCAUUAGGUAGUUGGCAGGAUAACAGCCUACCAAGCCGACGAUGGGUAGCCGACCUGAGAGGGUGAUCGGCCACACUGGAACUGAGACACGGUCCAGACUCCUACGGGAGGCAGCAGUGGGGAAUAUUGGGCAAUGGGCGCAAGCCUGACCCAAGCAACGCCGCGUGAGUGAAGAAGGCCUUUGGGUUGUAAAACUCUGUUCUAUGGGAAGAAGGAAGUGACGGUACCAUAGGAGAAAGCUCCGGCUAACUACGUGCCAGCAGCUGC
This 514-nucleotide ribosomal RNA is filed under the name uncultured bacterium. Its description in RNAcentral is "bacterial SSU rRNA". It matches the Rfam family "Bacterial small subunit ribosomal RNA", at positions 8 to 518 of the family's 1533-position model. The record is from RNAcentral.